RNAcentral lists this microRNA (22 nucleotides) under Gallus gallus (chicken). RNAcentral describes it as "gga-miR-6706-5p". Lineage: Eukaryota; Metazoa; Chordata; Aves; Galliformes; Phasianidae. The record is from miRBase by way of RNAcentral.
AGGAGAAAUGGAGUGGGCUGAG